GCUGUAACGUGGCUGAUCCUUCGAGGACGAGUUGAUGACAACGGGGUUGCUGGAGAUGCAGGAGUGAUUGGUCAUCGAUCCAGGGAGAGAGAGAGAGAGAGCGAAACAUUAGGGAGGAACGGAGUCGUUACUUAAACUACGGAUCGCGUGUCGGCAGCCCUAUCUGCUCAUUUAUGUUCUAAUGCCUGGCUGGUUAUUAAAUGAAGACUGUUAUGAGAUGUUCUGCUGUCGAGACCUCAGCCAUUUGGAACGUAAUCGAGUUUUUUAUAACAUUAUCCCUGAAUUCAGGAAAAAAAAAAGUAUUCGUGAUUCAAGAAUGUUAAGAGGAUAGACGAUUUAGACAUGUAGAUAUACUCAGAGUAAUAUACGAAUAAAGAAAAGUUCGCCGGAAUUGUAUUCAACCUUCAAUAAUAAAAACACUGGAAAAAGGCAUAGAAAAUUCAAUAUGAAGAUAUAUGGUCUUUGACAAUCAAAGAGAUGACAGAGCAAAUUGAGAAUGCAGAGAUGAGGACAAUGCGUGGAACGCUCGAGGGUUGCGACAAGUGGAUGAGAAAAUCUCGCGGUUAACACGGGGGAUGCAUUUAUCCGUCGUUUAUCCGGUUUAUCGAGCGUCAGGUGCAUAUCGACUGAAUAACACCGGGAGCACUCGCCGGGAGUGGUGCAAGGGGUGCAAGAGUGGCGAAGGGUUGGCGAGAUUCGACGGACCCCGAGUAUGCGACGCUCGACUGCGGACGCUUCGACCGGGAGUUGAUACGCCGAUGCGAUACGCCGCUAAAUAGCCUUAAGUGGGAUUACGUCUUUCGCUAUUGUGCGGCGGAAGGAGGAGCUCGUACAAAUUUCGGUCUUUGUGUGGCGCCGGGGCGUUCUCGGCGCCUCGCCUCGCAUUACGGAGGGUGCCGAAUUCAUCGGGCAACGCAUCUCUCUUCCGGACCGUGCCGGCCGUGUUCUCCGGAAUAAUUGUACUCGUGAUUUCAGCGCGCCUAUUCUGGAACCAGAUUUUGAUUUGCGUCUCGGUAAGUCUCAAGGAAGUUGCGAGCUCGAAUCUGCGUCCC
Molecule: long non-coding RNA, 1052 nt
Organism: Acromyrmex echinatior (Panamanian leafcutter ant)
Lineage: Eukaryota; Metazoa; Arthropoda; Insecta; Hymenoptera; Formicidae
Source: RefSeq, a predicted model, not a curated record